GAUGAACGCUGGCGGCGUGCCUAAUACAUGCAAGUCGAGCGAACAGACGAGGAGCUUGCUCCUCUGACGUUAGCGGCGGACGGGUGAGUAACACGUGGAUAACCUACCUAUAAGACUGGGAUAACUUCGGGAAACCGGAGCUAAUACCGGAUAAUAUAUUGAACCGCAUGGUUCAAUAGUGAAAGACGGUUUUGCUGUCACUUAUAGAUGGAUCCGCGCCGCAUUAGCUAGUUGGUAAGGUAACGGCUUACCAAGGCAACGAUGCGUAGCCGACCUGAGAGGGUGAUGGGCACCACGGGACCUGAGAAACGGUCCAGACUCCUACGGGAGGAAGCAGUAGGGAAUCUUCCGAAAUGGGCGAAAGCCUGACGGAGAAACGCCGCGUGGGGGAUGAAGGUCUUCGGAUCGUAAACUCUGUUAUUAGGGAAGAACAAAUGUGUAAGUAACUAUGCACGUCUUGACGGUACCUAAUCAGAAAGCCACGGCUAACUACGUG
RNAcentral lists this ribosomal RNA (496 nucleotides) under uncultured bacterium. RNAcentral describes it as "partial 16S ribosomal RNA". It matches the Rfam family "Bacterial small subunit ribosomal RNA", at positions 28 to 507 of the family's 1533-position model. The record is from RNAcentral.